AAUAAUUUUCGACUCGCAGUGUCGUCGCCGUGGUAUAACGCGGGGAUCGGGGUACGACGAAGGAUGUUAUCGAGGAUGAAAAAACGUGAUCUCUAUCAAUCGUUUAUAUUCUACAAGACCGCGAGGGAUUUGAUUGCGGUCGAGGGGCGGGAUACGGAGGGACGGAGGGACGGAUCCCUCGAGGAGAGAACAUCUUCUUCUUCCUUCCUUCCUGGGGGGGGGGGAUAUCGUUUACCAGAUUCAGAUCACAUGCGGACAACGUUGGAAAACUGAUGCCCGAACGCGUUAUGGGCUGAGUAUAUUAUCCACCUCCACCUCCACCCCCCCGCACCCGCACCGCCGAAUGAAAAGGAAAAAGAAAAAGAAGGACAGAAAUAAUAU
This is a long non-coding RNA of Athalia rosae (coleseed sawfly), 381 nucleotides long. RefSeq lists it as uncharacterized. NCBI's taxonomy places the organism in Eukaryota, Metazoa, Arthropoda, Insecta, Hymenoptera, Athaliidae. The transcript has 2 exons. The record is from RefSeq and is a predicted model, not a curated record.